CCUGAUUUCCGUGUCCAACGUUUGACCGUCCGUCUUAUUUAAAAAAAUUAUGAAAAAAAUAAAAAGACGCAUAAAAUAUUAAUCAUGUUUUAUCAUCUAACAAUAAUGAAAAUACGAAUUAUAAAAAAUUUCAUAUAAGACGGACAGUCAAAGUUAGACACGAAAAUUCAGGAUUUGCUUUUU
Non-coding RNA from Oryza glaberrima (African rice), 183 nucleotides. Lineage: Eukaryota; Viridiplantae; Streptophyta; Magnoliopsida; Poales; Poaceae. The record is from Rfam.